UCCAAUUUAUGCAAAAAUUGCAUAGUACACACUGAUUAAACAAACUAAAGUCUAAUUUAAUUAACUAGUGAAAAGUUACACAAACCAAAACAAAGUACUACCAAAUCAAAUCUGAAUCCAAGAGACAAACAACAAAGAAUGAACUGGCAUGAAAAAUACGAAUUAAACAAAAGUUGACAAUUCAAUAAUUCAGCUUUAAAACUUAUCAGUGAUAAAAUAGGAAGAACAACUAAACCUAAUUUCUAAAUAUCAAAAGGAUAGAGAGGAAUAAAGAAGAAAAGGACAAGUAUUACCUAACGAGCUCAAAAGAAACGACAGAAGGAAUCUCCAGAUGGCUCCGAUCGGCCAAACACCGAUUGACCAAAAUACGGCCACUGAUAAAUGACCCACCUCUUACAUAAAUUGAUAGCUCUUGAAAAGAGCUUUCUAUUGAAGUAAGUUUUGGUUGUAACCAAGCCUAAAUGAUCGAGCAACGACAAAGAUAAGAAUCAAUUUUCUAAGGUUUCGAGAUCUAAAAUUCGUUGAUUUUAGUAAGGAUUUCGGGGAAGCUGGAAAGGCGUCUGUAUUGAAGAGGAGUUGGGGAGUGUAGGAUGAAAUUUUACGUCUAUUUGGAGACAGGACGCUUCCAUGGGCGAUUUCCGACGGGGGCGAAAGGUGGGGCGUGAAAGAGGAGGUGAGAGAUGAUCUCAGAGGUCAUUCGCGGGGUAGGGGUUCGGUUUCAAAGACAAUUUUAUGUGACUAAUGGUUUAGUUCCUAGCCGUUGGAUGGGUUUGAGGGAUGGCUAAGAUUUAAUCUAAUCAAACUAACCUAAA
Molecule: long non-coding RNA, 812 nt
Filed under: Nicotiana benthamiana
Lineage: Eukaryota; Viridiplantae; Streptophyta; Magnoliopsida; Solanales; Solanaceae
Description: long non-coding RNA (NBEN_LNC009265)
Source: RNAcentral